Molecule: long non-coding RNA, 535 nt
Organism: Cynara cardunculus var. scolymus (artichoke)
Lineage: Eukaryota; Viridiplantae; Streptophyta; Magnoliopsida; Asterales; Asteraceae
Exons: 2
Source: RefSeq, a predicted model, not a curated record
AGCUAUUUAUCAUCACCGGAGAAUUGAUCCGGAGUUGGAGCAUCAUCGCCUUCGCAGGUAGGUUUGUGACUAAUUUUGGAGGAGAAAGGAGUGAAGGGGAUAUCGAAGGUCCAGGGUGUGUGGAAAGGAAGUAGAAGAUGAAGCAACUCAACAAGAACAAUCUCGAAUGCAUAGUGAAACCGUGACACGAUUGCAUGCGUGCCUUGAUCAGCAAUUGUAUACCAAUUUCGUGACAUGAUUGUGUACUAAUUUGUGCAAUGAUUUGAACAUGAGCGAUCUCAAGUGCAACUUGAACUGGAAUCUCAAGUGGGACCGUGGUGGAAUAUAAUCCCAAAAAAGAGAAGGUCAAGUGAAAGGCUAACUUUGAACAAAUUACGGAAGAACACUGUUGAGAAGGACAGGGAAGGUAGUAGUGAGAAACUAGUUCAACUCGAUCAAAUAUCAAGGUAAUUAAACGAAUGUGAUUUUGAAAAGAUAUUGCACUUGUUUACUAUUGACAUUACAAACUAUGCUAUGAAAUUCACUGAUAAAAUGA